RNAcentral lists this ribosomal RNA (529 nucleotides) under uncultured bacterium. RNAcentral describes it as "bacterial SSU rRNA". It matches the Rfam family "Bacterial small subunit ribosomal RNA", at positions 356 to 878 of the family's 1533-position model. The record is from RNAcentral.
UGGGAAUUUUGGACAAUGGGCGAAAGCCUGAUCCAGCCAUGCCGCGUGCGGGAAGAAGGCCUUCGGGUUGUAAACCGCUUUUGUCAGGGAAGAAACGGUCUGGGCUAAUACCUCGGACUAAUGACGGUACCUGAAGAAUAAGCACCGGCUAACUACGUGCCAGCAGCCGCGGUAAUACGUAGGGUGCAAGCGUUAAUCGGAAUUACUGGGCGUAAAGCGUGCGCAGGCGGCUUUGCAAGACAGAUGUGAAAUCCCCGGGCUCAACCUGGGAACUGCAUUUGUGACUGCAAGGCUGGAGUGCGGCAGAGGGGGAUGGAAUUCCGCGUGUAGCAGUGAAAUGCGUAGAUAUGCGGAGGAACACCGAUGGCGAAGGCAAUCCCCUGGGCCUGCACUGACGCUCAUGCACGAAAGCGUGGGGAGCAAACAGGAUUAGAUACCCUGGUAGUCCACGCCCUAAACGAUGUCAACUGGUUGUUGGACGGCUUGCUGUUCAGUAACGAAGCUAACGCGUGAAGUUGACCGCCUGGGG